CAAGCUGUGGGGCAUGUGGGUUUUAAUUCGAGCAUACCCGUAGUACUUUACUGUCCUGGACAUCCUCGGAACCCUGGAGAGAUUGAGGGGUGCCUUCGGGAUCGGUGAGACAGGUGCUGCAUGGCUGUCUGUCAGCUCGGUGUCGUGAGAUGUUGGGUUAAGUCCCGCAACGAGCGCAACCGUUGUCCAUAGUUGCCAGCAUUUCGGAUGGGGAACUGUAAGGAGACUGCCGGUGACAAACCGGAGUAAGCUGGGGAUGACGUCAAGUCUUCAUGGCCCUUAUGGCCAGGGCUGCACACGUGCUACAAUGGCCGGUACAGAGGGAGGCGAAGCUGCGAGGUGAAGCAAAUCCCAGAAUACCGGUCGUAGUCCGGAUUGGAGUCUGCAACUCGACUCCAUGAAGUCGGAAUCGCUAGUAAUCGCGAAUCAGCAAGUCGCGGUGAAUACGUUCCCGGGCAUUUGUACACACCGCCCGUCACACCAUGGGAGUGAAAUGUACCAAGAAGUCGCUAGUCUAACCUACGGGGGGACGGUGCCCACGGUAUGUUUCAUGACUGGG
RNAcentral lists this ribosomal RNA (559 nucleotides) under uncultured organism. Its description in RNAcentral is "bacterial SSU rRNA". It matches the Rfam family "Bacterial small subunit ribosomal RNA", at positions 926 to 1479 of the family's 1533-position model. The record is from RNAcentral.